UGGGGACACGAGAGACGGAUGCUGUGGACUUGUGUUCAGACUGCGUGAACGGAGAGUGUCGUCUUCGUCGUGCGUGGAAUUGUCCUGAGCGCCGGCUGCUGAUUGGCCGUCCUCCUGCAGUGUCCGUUCUCCGCGCCUCUGUGUCCCGCGUGAACAGCAGCCGUGGUCGCCUCCGUCCUCCAGCUUGAACCCUGUGUCCUGCACCACCCGUCCGCCACUGCCCCAGAAUUCCUCUCCUCCCCACAGUCGUCGUUGGUCUUGGAGUGACACAGUAUCAGAGACCUGGAGUCAGAAAAGUUUGUUUGUUUUUCAGAUUUUUUUUUGCUAUUUAGCGAACAGCACUUUGAAAACGUGGCUGCUUCCUGUUUCUGAACAGCCACUUCCUGUCAUCGCCAUCAUCGUAUCCAGCAAAUAAGAUUGAGUGUCCUGGAGAUAUUUGACCUCUACACUGAGGACACAUUAGC
Molecule: long non-coding RNA, 464 nt
Organism: Solea solea (common sole)
Lineage: Eukaryota; Metazoa; Chordata; Actinopteri; Pleuronectiformes; Soleidae
Exons: 3
Source: RefSeq, a predicted model, not a curated record